This 654-nucleotide ribosomal RNA is filed under the name uncultured Glomus. Its description in RNAcentral is "SSU rRNA". It matches the Rfam family "Eukaryotic small subunit ribosomal RNA", at positions 357 to 1016 of the family's 1831-position model. The record is from RNAcentral. Lineage: Eukaryota; Fungi; Glomeromycota; Glomeromycetes; Glomerales; Glomeraceae.
GGGUAACGGGGUGUUAGGGCACGACACCGGAGAGGGAGCCUGAGAAACGGCUACCACAUCCAAGGAAGGCAGCAGGCGCGCAAAUUACCCAAUCCCGACAUGGGGAGGUAGUGACAAUAAAUAACAAUACAGGGUUCUUUUGGAUCUUGUAAUUGGAAUGAGUACAAUUUAAAUCUCUUAACGAGGAACAAUUGGAGGGCAAGUCUGGUGCCAGCAGCCGCGGUAAUUCCAGCUCCAAUAGCGUAUAUUAAAGUUGUUGCAGUUAAAAAGCUCGUAGUUGAAUUUCGGGAUCAAGGAAUCGGUCAUGCCUCGGUAUGUACUGGUUUUAUUGGUUCUCACCUUCUAAAGAACCAUAAUGUCAUUUAUUUGAUGUUAUGGGGAAUUAGGACUGUUACCUUGAAAAAAUUAGAGUGUUUAAAGCAAGCUUACGCUUGAAUACAUUAGCAUGGAAUAAUGAAAUAGGACAUCCGAUUCUAUUUUGUUGGUUUCUAGGAUCGAUGUAAUGAUCAAUAGGGAUAGUUGGGGGCAUUAGUAUUCAAUUGUCAGAGGUGAAAUUCUUGGAUUUAUUGAAGACUAACUACUGCGAAAGCAUUUGCCAAGGAUGUUUUCAUUAAUCAAGAACGAAAGUUAGGGGAUCGAAGACGAUCAGAUACC